AGAAGACAUCGUGUCUUCGAGUCGUUGAUUUCACACUGCCGAGAAAAGCCUCUAGAUAGAAAAUAGGUGCCCGUACCGCAAACCGACACAGGUAGUCAAGAUGAGAAUUCUAAGGUGAGCGAGCGAACUCUCGUUAAGGAACUCGGCAAAAUGACCCCGUAACUUCGGGAGAAGGGGUGCUCUUUAGGGUUAACGCCCAGAAGAGCCGCAGUGAAUAGGCCCAAGCGACUGUUUAUCAAAAACACAGGUCUCUGCUAAACCGUAAGGUGAUGUAUAGGGGCUGACGCCUGCCCGGUGCUGGAAGGUUAAGAGGAGUGGUUAGCUUCUGCGAAGCUACGAAUCGAAGCCCCAGUAAACGGCGGCCGUAACUAUAACGGUCCUAAGGUAGCGAAAUUCCUUGUCGGGUAAGUUCCGACCCGCACGAAAGGCGUAACGAUUUGGGCACUGUCUCAACGAGAGACUCGGUGAAAUCAUAGUACCUGUGAAGAUGCAGGUUACCCGCGACAGGACGGAAAGACCCCGUGGAGCUUUACUGUAGCCUGAUAUUGAAAUUCGGCACAGCUUGUACAGGAUAGGUAGGAGCCUUUGAAACGUGAGCGCUAGCUUACGUGGAGGCGCUGGUGGGAUACUACCCUAGCUGUGUUGGCUUUCUAACCCGCACCACUUAUCGUGGUGGGAGACAGUGUCAGGCGGGCAGUUUGACUGGGGCGGUCGCCUCCUAAAAGGUAACGGAGGCGCUCAAAGGUUCCCUCAGAAUGGUUGGAAAUCAUUCAUAGAGUGUAAAGGCAUAAGGGAGCUUGACUGCGAGACCUACAAGUCGAG
This 822-nucleotide ribosomal RNA is filed under the name Staphylococcus aureus. RNAcentral's name for it is "partial 23S ribosomal RNA". It matches the Rfam family "Bacterial large subunit ribosomal RNA", at positions 1570 to 2393 of the family's 2925-position model. The record is from RNAcentral. Lineage: Bacteria; Bacillati; Bacillota; Bacilli; Caryophanales; Staphylococcaceae.